CAACCCUCAAGCCCCAGCGGUUUGGUGUUGGGGACCGGCGAUGGUGCUGCUCCGGCAGGCGCUCGCCGCCCCCGAAAUGAAUUGGCGGUCUCGUCGCGGCCUCCUCUGCGUAGUAGCACAACCUCGCAACAGGAGCGCGGCGCGGCCACUGCCGUAAAACGCCCCAACUUCUCAAG
RNAcentral lists this unclassified non-coding RNA (176 nucleotides) under uncultured Metarhizium. RNAcentral describes it as "sequence contains ITS2". Lineage: Eukaryota; Fungi; Ascomycota; Sordariomycetes; Hypocreales; Clavicipitaceae. The record is from RNAcentral.